Molecule: small nucleolar RNA, 130 nt
Organism: Carassius auratus (goldfish)
Lineage: Eukaryota; Metazoa; Chordata; Actinopteri; Cypriniformes; Cyprinidae
Product: small nucleolar RNA SNORA3/SNORA45 family
Source: Ensembl
AGCGAUACUAGAGUCACAUCCUGAUGCUGCUGGUGGUCCUGGUGUGCUAUAGUACUCGCAGAAUGACUCUCUGCUUAUUCAAUGGCUGCUGCUCUCUGUUGUCCAGCCAAUCACCCGGUCAGAAACAUGC